This 492-nucleotide ribosomal RNA is filed under the name uncultured bacterium. Its description in RNAcentral is "partial 16S ribosomal RNA". It matches the Rfam family "Bacterial small subunit ribosomal RNA", at positions 29 to 507 of the family's 1533-position model. The record is from RNAcentral.
AGUGAACGCUGGCGGUAGGCCUAACACAUGCAAGUCGAACGGCAGCACAGUAAGAGCUUGCUCUUACGGGUGGCGAGUGGCGGACGGGUGAGGAAUACAUCGGAAUCUACUUUUUCGUGGGGGAUAACGUAGGGAAACUUACGCUAAUACCGCAUACGACCUACGGGUGAAAGCAGGGGAUCUUCGGACCUUGCGCGAUUGAAUGAGCCGAUGUCGGAUUAGCUAGUUGGCGGGGUAAAGGCCCACCAAGGCGACGAUCCGUAGCUGGACUGAGAGGAUGAUCAGCCACACUGGAACUGAGACACGGUCCAGACUCCUACGGGAGGCAGCAGUGGGGAAUAUUGGACAAUGGGCGGAAGCCUGAUCCAGCCAUACCGCGUGGGUGAAGAAGGCCUUCGGGUUGUAAAGCCCUUUUGUUGGGAAAGAAGAGCAGCAGGUUAAUACCCCGCUGUUCUGACGGUACCCAAAGAAUAAGCACCGGCUAACUUCGUG